AACGAACGCUGGCGGCAGGCUUAACACAUGCAAGUCGAACGCACUCUUCGGAGUGAGUGGCAGACGGGUGAGUAACGCGUGGGAACCUACCUAGUGGUAUGGAAUAACUCAGGGAAACUUGAGCUAAUACCGUAUACGCCCUCCUUAGAGAUAUUGGGGGGAAAGAUUUAUCGCCAUUAGAUGGGCCCGCGUCGGAUUAGCUUGUUGGUGGGGUAAUGGCCUACCAAGGCGACGAUCCGUAGCUGGUCUGAGAGGAUGAUCAGCCACACUGGGACUGAGACACGGCCCAGACUCCUGCGGGAGGCAGCAGUGGGGAAUAUUGGACAAUGGGGGAAACCCUGAUCCAGCCAUGCCGCGUGAGUGACGAAGGCCUUAGGGUUGUAAAACUCUUUCACCGGUGAAGAUAAUGACGGUAGCCGGAGAAGAAGCCCCGGCUAACUCCGUG
This 445-nucleotide ribosomal RNA is filed under the name uncultured bacterium. RNAcentral's name for it is "bacterial SSU rRNA". It matches the Rfam family "Bacterial small subunit ribosomal RNA", at positions 29 to 507 of the family's 1533-position model. The record is from RNAcentral.